This 465-nucleotide ribosomal RNA is filed under the name uncultured bacterium. RNAcentral's name for it is "partial 16S ribosomal RNA". It matches the Rfam family "Bacterial small subunit ribosomal RNA", at positions 338 to 795 of the family's 1533-position model. The record is from RNAcentral.
CCUACGGGAGGCAGCAGUAGGGAAUCUUCCACAAUGGGCGAAAGCCUGAUGGAGCAACGCCGCGUGGGUGAAGAAGGUCUUCGGAUCGUAAAACUCUGUUGUUAGAGAAGAAAGUGCGUGAGAGUAACUGUUCACGUUUCGACGGUAUCUAACCAGAAAGCCACGGCUAACUACGUGCCAGCAGCCGCGGUAAUACGUAGGUGGCAAGCGUUAUCCGGAUUUAUUGGGCGUAAAGGGAACGCAGGCGGUUUUUUAAGUCUGAUGUGAAAGCCUUCGGCUUAACCGGAGUAGUGCAUUGGAAACUGGGAGACUUGAGGGCAGAAGAGGAGAGUGGAACUCCAUGUGUAGCGGUGAAAUGCGUAGAUAUAUGGAAGAACACCAGUGGCGAAAGCGGCUCUCUGGUCUGUAACUGACGCUGAGGUUCGAAAGCGUGGGUAGCAAACAGGAUUAGAUACCCUUGUAGUC